This is a long non-coding RNA of Carassius auratus (goldfish), 1597 nucleotides long. RefSeq lists it as uncharacterized. The transcript has 4 exons. Lineage: Eukaryota; Metazoa; Chordata; Actinopteri; Cypriniformes; Cyprinidae. The record is from RefSeq and is a predicted model, not a curated record.
CAAGUGGAGAAUGGAAGCACACGCAUGGAAGUGCAGGAAAUAUAACCUUCCAGAGAUUCCCACUGCUUCUGAGAAUCCAGAGCACUUGUGUUCUCCUGAUUGUGUAUUUGCAGUGUGUUAACCCAGUUCCCCUGAAAGCUGAAGCCACAGAGUAUCAGCAAGUAUAUCUGCAUCUGCACCAAUUCUCUGAUUCAGCUAUGACAUAACAUGACUCUUUUCCCAAAAGCACUGAGUCCCAUAGCAUUCUUACGGCCACAGGGGUGUAUGUACAAACAAAUGAUGUCUCUCCAGGGAGCUUUCAUGUGCCUCGAAAGAAGAAAUCUUUCUUUUCAGCAAACAGCAGAAUGGCUGACACAUCUCUCUGUGUGAUCUGGCUGACAUGCCCACAUAGCACCUAUAAUCAGGGGCUGCCAGCAGUGCCCGGGGGGACAUAAAGCAGCGUGGUGAUGCCCCGCCGUGACAGCCGUCCUUGUUCCAGCUGACAGGUCCGUAUGCGGGGCACAUCACUGGUGUAAAUACAGGCAGGAGUCUCUGCCUCUGGGGAGAUAGUGUUAUCUCCAGCGUCAAGGCGUUCUCCCAUCCAUCCUCCACAAAACCUGUCCCCUGAGAAGCACACGGCAUCUCGCCCCCACACCUCCCCUCUCACCCUGCCUACACCGCAAUCUUGGCACUAACUCACCUCUGGACUCGAAGCGUGCUAUUGUGGUGAAAACAGAAUGAGGGUCACUUACUGGUUGCUGGAUGUAUGUAUGCGUAUGAAUAUGUACCCUGCAUGUCCAUGGCAUUUUGGGGCACAGCUAGUUUGGACUUACCAUCCCUGACUUUCCCUGAUGUUCAAGGAAUGUGAAUUACUCCACAGAUUCAGAAGGGUCUCUACACAUGACCUCCAACAGAAGGAGGCAGAGCCGAUGAAAUGGACUAAUCCUCCCUUUCCUUUUUUCUUUUUCAUUAAAAAGAGAUUUAAAGUGUGAAAGUUGUUCUAAUGUAGUGGAUUUUCACAGAUAUUCAAGUUAGCUGGAUUUUUUAAAGGUGGGAGGCACAGCAAGGAAAUAAGACACAAGUAACUAAAACAUGCAUUUCUUUGCUAUUUGUCGUUGACUGCUCAAUCUGAAUGCAUUUCAUUAUUUAGAACAAAGUUGGCCUGCCAACAACAAGAAGAGACAAUGCAAACUAUAAUCUGAACUAAAAACUUUACUAAACCUGCUGCUCUUUGCAGCUCAUGCUGAUGUCAAGAGUAAAGGUCAGUCUAUGCAAACAUCUGCACUCAGAAGAAAAGGUACAAAAGCUGUAAAUGGGGUGAUACUUUUAAAAAUGGUACACUUUUGUACCAAAGGGUCCAUAUUUAUACCUUAAAGGCACACAUGAGUAAAUAAAGUGUUUAUAUUAGUGCAUUAAAGGUAUAAAAGCUUAUGUUGUGAAGCUUAAUACUGUAGUUAUUUGUAUAAGUAAAACUUACUGCAAUUUGAGGAAUGUGGGCCAGUCUUGGCAUGUUUUUUACAGUAUUUCCUUGUAAAUAAUCAAGCCGUUAUGACAAUAAAUCACAAAUAACCACAUUAAAAGAGACAACAUGAAUACACGUUUGAGUAUAUGUGGCGUG